UUCAUUAGGACGAAAUCAGCAAGGGGGGAAGCCAUAGUUAGGGUUUUCAAGCUUCCAAGCUCCAUAAUCAAGAAGAACGAAACUCGAGGUUAGACAAAGGGAAGAAUAAAGUUGAAGACUAAGUUGUUGAAUUGGACUAUAUUUGAUACCGAGUAUUGCAAAGCUACUUCAAGGAUCCUAAAGAAGUCGGAGAUCGUCCACACUAUCAACCACAACUGCUCGGUAUUUUAUAUCGAAACACGUUUGAGUUAUGGCAUGUAUAGGGAUUUAGUUAUUUUGUAUGUUUGUGAUUAUGAUUUUGCUAAAGAAUGGUGUGUAAGUAUUUGAUGAUGUAUGGUUAUUAAAAUGGUUAAGUAUGAAGGUAUUUGUUGUUAUAA
Long non-coding RNA from Gossypium raimondii (Peruvian cotton), 377 nucleotides. RefSeq lists it as uncharacterized. The transcript is spliced from 3 exons. NCBI's taxonomy places the organism in Eukaryota, Viridiplantae, Streptophyta, Magnoliopsida, Malvales, Malvaceae. The record is from RefSeq and is a predicted model, not a curated record.